RNAcentral lists this ribosomal RNA (497 nucleotides) under uncultured bacterium. Its description in RNAcentral is "partial 16S ribosomal RNA". It matches the Rfam family "Bacterial small subunit ribosomal RNA", at positions 28 to 507 of the family's 1533-position model. The record is from RNAcentral.
GACGAACGCUGGCGGCGUGCCUAAUACAUGCAAGUUGAGCGCUGAAGGUUGGUACUUGUACUGACUGGAUGAGCAGCGAACGGGUGAGUAACGCGUGGGGAAUCUGCCUUUGAGCGGGGGACAACAUUUGGAAACGAAUGCUAAUACCGCAUAAAAACUUUAAACACAAGUUUUAAGUUUGAAAGAUGCAAUUGCAUCACUCAAAGAUGAUCCCGCGUUGUAUUAGCUAGUUGGUGAGGUAAAGGCUCACCAAGGCGAUGAUACAUAGCCGACCUGAGAGGGUGAUCGGCCACAUUGGGACUGAGACACGGCCCAAACUCCUACGGGAGGCAGCAGUAGGGAAUCUUCGGCAAUGGACGAAAGUCUGACCGAGCAACGCCGCGUGAGUGAAGAAGGUUUUCGGAUCGUAAAACUCUGUUGGUAGAGAAGAACGUUGGUGAGAGUGGAAAGCUCAUCAAGUGACGGUAACUACACAGAAAGGGACGGCUAACUACGUG